CUUUGAUGAAGUUUUCGGAUGGAUUUAAACAGCUUAGUGGCGGACGGGUGAGUAACGCGUGGGUAACCUGCCUUGUACUGGGGGACAACAGUUGGAAACGACUGCUAAUACCGCAUAAGCGCACAGCUUCGCAUGAAGCAGUGUGAAAAACUCCGGUGGUACAAGAUGGACCCGCGUCUGAUUAGCUGGUUGGUGAGGUAACGGCCCACCAAGGCGACGAUCAGUAGCCGGCCUGAGAGGGUGAACGGCCACAUUGGGACUGAGACACGGCCCAAACUCC
RNAcentral lists this ribosomal RNA (280 nucleotides) under uncultured Lachnospiraceae bacterium. Its description in RNAcentral is "partial 16S ribosomal RNA". The stretch from base 42 to 280 matches the Rfam family "Bacterial small subunit ribosomal RNA", at positions 100 to 339 of the family's 1533-position model. Lineage: Bacteria; Bacillati; Bacillota; Clostridia; Lachnospirales; Lachnospiraceae. The record is from RNAcentral.